AAAGAAACCAACAGGGAUUGCCUCAGUAACGGCGAGUGAAGCGGCAACAGCUCAAAUUUGAAAUCUGGCCCUAGGCCCGAGUUGUAAUUUGCAGAGGAUGCUUUGGGCGCGGUGCCUUCCGAGUUCCCUGGAACGGGACGCCAUAGAGGGUGAGAGCCCCGUCUGGUCGGACACCAAGCCUAUGUAAAGCUCCUUCGACGAGUCGAGUAGUUUGGGAAUGCUGCUCAAAAUGGGAGGUAUAUGUCUUCUAAAGCUAAAUACCGGCCAGAGACCGAUAGCGCACAAGUAGAGUGAUCGAAAGAUGAAAAGCACUUUGAAAAGAGAGUUAAAUAGCACGUGAAAUUGUUGAAAGGGAAGCGUUUAUGACCAGACUUGGCCCGGUUGAUCAUCCAGCGUUCUCGCUGGUGCACUCUGCCGGUCCAGGCCAGCAUCAGUUCGUCGCGGGGGAUAAAGGUUUCGGGAAUGUGGCUCCUCGGAGUGUUAUAGCCCGUUGCGUAAUACCCUGCGGUGGACUGAGGUCCGCGCUCUGCAAGGAUGCUGGCGUAAUGGUCAUCAACGACCCGUCUUGAAACACGGACCAAGGAGUCGUCUUCGUAUGCGAGUGUUCGGGUGUAAAACCCCUACGCGUAAUGAAAGUGAACGGAGGUGGGAGCUUCGGCGCACCAUCGACCGAUCCUGAUGUUCUCGGAUGGAUUUGAGUAAGAGCAUACGGGGCCGGACCCGAAAGAAGGUGAACUAUGCCUGUAUAGGGUGAAGCCAGAGGAAACUCUGGUGGAGGCUCGCAGCGGUUCUGACGUGCAAAUCGAUCGUCAAAUAUGGGCAUGGGGGCGAAAGACUAAUCGAACCUUCUAGUAGCUGGUUUCCGCCGAAGUUUCCCUCAGGAUAGCAGUGUUGAACUCAGUUUUAUGAGGUAAAGCGAAUGAUUAGGGACCCGGGGGCGCUAUAUUGCCUUCAUCCAUUCUCAAACUUUAAAUAUGUAAGAAGCCCUUGUUGCUUAAUUGAACGUGGGCAUUCGAAUGUAUCAAC
RNAcentral lists this ribosomal RNA (1026 nucleotides) under Digitiseta multidigitata. RNAcentral describes it as "eukaryotic LSU rRNA". It matches the Rfam family "Eukaryotic large subunit ribosomal RNA", at positions 58 to 1121 of the family's 3401-position model. RNAcentral also lists the same sequence under 1 other name. Lineage: Eukaryota; Fungi; Ascomycota; Sordariomycetes; Hypocreales; Stachybotryaceae. The record is from RNAcentral.